RNAcentral lists this long non-coding RNA (214 nucleotides) under Eucalyptus grandis. Its description in RNAcentral is "long non-coding RNA (EGRA_LNC001136)". Lineage: Eukaryota; Viridiplantae; Streptophyta; Magnoliopsida; Myrtales; Myrtaceae. The record is from RNAcentral.
UCCCGUGCAGGACUCAUGCCGCCGCCUGCGGCCAUGGGAGGGGGCUGUUUCUGGUCGGGGGGAACGGGUUCAGCCACUGAUGAUUCGUAGAUAGCCCGUUAUCGGUUCGGGUCCGUCUUUGGCCGACAGGGCAACCUCAAUCCUUUGGCAUUUUCGUCGUCUGAGUUAUGUUCCCUUCUUUAGCGAUAAGUGGUGCAGCAGUUCAGGAGCUUCC